CAUCUACGGAGAGUUUGAUCCUGGCUCAGGACGAACGCUGGCGGCGUGCUUAACACAUGCAAGUCGAACGGUGAACCC
Molecule: ribosomal RNA, 78 nt
Filed under: Blastococcus aurantiacus
Lineage: Bacteria; Bacillati; Actinomycetota; Actinomycetes; Geodermatophilales; Geodermatophilaceae
Description: Blastococcus sp. DSM 44268 partial 16S rRNA. Bacterial SSU
Rfam family: Bacterial small subunit ribosomal RNA
Source: RNAcentral